Non-coding RNA from Phoenix dactylifera (date palm), 701 nucleotides. The record is from RefSeq and is a predicted model, not a curated record. NCBI's taxonomy places the organism in Eukaryota, Viridiplantae, Streptophyta, Magnoliopsida, Arecales, Arecaceae.
UCGAUGCCCUAGCUACGCGCCGUCGACCUCCUCCUCCUCCUCCUCUUUGUUUUUAACGCUCGCUCGGCCCCCUCUCCUCAUACUCUCUCGGUUGAGCCCCAUCCCUAGCUCCGAUCGGCGAUCGACGAUUCCGCUUCUCCGCCGCCGUCGACCUCGCCGCCGUCUGAGCCCCGAUCGGCGAUCGACGAUUCCGCUUCUCCGCCGCCGUCGACUUCCGCUUCUCCGCCGCCGUCGACGUCGCCGCCGUCUGAGGUUGGAAUGUCUGAAUAGUCUAUUGAAUCCUCUCAUUGAGCAAGUAGUCUCAAUUAAGAGAAAAGAAUUGCUCUAUCAUAAGGCUUUUACAAGGCGAUGUUAUGACCUCCAAACAGCUGAAGCAGAGGUGGAUCUGCUUGGUGAUGAGGUAGAUGUACUUCUUGGCCUAAUUCAGAAGAUAUACAUAUCACUGGACCAUUAUUCACCAGUUUUGCAACACUAUUUUGGGGUAACAAUAUGCCCCGAGGGAGACGAUUUAGAGAUGUAGAGUUCCAGCAUUCUCAGGUGGGAUCUACUUCUGAUCAGUCCCAGCAGUCAUGUGAGCACCAGCAGCAUGAGUCAGAAUCUCAGCGCGAGCCUCCUGCUGAUUGUCCGGAGGAUGAGCUCCGGAUCCAGGAUGGACAAGGGACGGUGAGGACGAGACGGGGACUCACUCAAGCAAAGGAUGU